UAUAUACAUGCAGUCGAGCGGACAGAUGGGAGCUUGCUCCCUGAUGUUAGCGGCGGACGGGUGAGUAACACGUGGGUAACCUGCCUGUAAGACUGGGAUAACUCCGGGAAACCGGGGCUAAUACCGGAUGCUUGUUUGAACCGCAUGGUUCAAACAUAAAAGGUGGCUUCGGCUACCACUUACAGAUGGACCCGCGGCGCAUUAGCUAGUUGGUGAGGUAAUGGCUCACCAAGGCAACGAUGCGUAGCCGACCUGAGAGGGUGAUCGGCCACACUGGGACUGAGACACGGCCCAGACUCCUACGGGAGGCAGCAGUAGGGAAUCUUCCGCAAUGGACGAAAGUCUGACGGAGCAACGCCGCGUGAGUGAUGAAGGUUUUCGGAUCGUAAAGCUCUGUUGUUAGGGAAGAACAAGUACCGUUCGAAUAGGGCGGUACCUUGACGGUACCUAACCAGAAAGCCACGGCUAACUACGUGCCAGCAGCCGCGGUAAUACGUAGGUGGCAAGCGUUGUCCGGAAUUAUUGGGCGUAAAGGGCUCGCAGGCGGUUUCUUAAGUCUGAUGUGAAAGCCCCCGGCUCAACCGGGGAGGGUCAUUGGAAACUGGGGAACUUGAGUGCAGAAGAGGAGAGUGGAAUUCCACGUGUAGCGGUGAAAUGCGUAGAGAUGUGGAGGAACACCAGUGGCGAAGGCGACUCUCUGGUCUGUAACUGACGCUGAGGAGCGAAAGCGUGGGGAGCGAACAGGAUUAGAUACCCUGGUAGUCCACGCCGUAAACGAUGAGUGCUAAGUGUUAGGGGGUUUCCGCCCCUUAGUGCUGCAGCUAACGCAUUAAGCACUCCGCCUGGGGAGUACGGUCGCAAGACUGAAACUCAAAGGAAUUGACGGGGGCCCGCACAAGCGGUGGAGCAUGUGGUUUAAUUCGAAGCAACGCGAAGAACCUUACCAGGUCUUGACAUCCUCUGACAAUCCUAGAGAUAGGACGUCCCCUUCGGGGGCAGAAUGACAGGUGGUGCAUGGUUGUCGUCAGCUCGUGUCGUGAAAUGUUGGGUUAAGUCCCGCAACGAGCGCAACCCUUGAUCUUAGUUGCCAGCAUUCAGUUGGGCACUCUAAGGUGACUGCCGGUGACAAACCGGAGGAAGGUGGGGAUGACGUCAAAUCAUCAUGCCCCUUAUGACCUGGGCUACACACGUGCUACAAUGGACAGAACAAAGGGCAGCGAAACCGCGAGGUUAAGCCAAUCCCACAAAUC
Molecule: ribosomal RNA, 1250 nt
Filed under: Bacillus sp. (in: firmicutes)
Lineage: Bacteria; Bacillati; Bacillota; Bacilli; Caryophanales; Bacillaceae
Description: bacterial SSU rRNA
Rfam family: Bacterial small subunit ribosomal RNA
Source: RNAcentral